GAUGAACGCUGGCGGCGUGCCUAAUACAUGCAAGUCGAGCGAACAGACGAGGAGCUUGCUCCUCUGACGUUAGCGGCGGACGGGUGAGUAACACGUGGAUAACCUACCUAUAAGACUGGGAUAACUUCGGGAAACCGGAGCUAAUACCGGAUAAUAUAUUUAACCGCAUGGUUCAAUAGUUAAAUACGGUUUUUCUGUCUCUUAUAGAUGGAUCCGCGCCGCAUUAGCUAGUUGGUAAGGUAACGGCUUACCAAGGCGACGAUGCGUAGCCGACCUGAGAGGGUGAUCGGCCACACUGGAACUGAGACACGGUCCAGACUCCUACGGGAGGCAGCAGUAGGGAAUCUUCCGCAAUGGGCGAAAGCAUGACGGAGCAACGCCGCGUGAGUGAUGAAGGUCUUCGGAUCGUAAAACUCUGUUAUUAGGGAAGAACAAAUGUGUAAGUAACUAUGCACGUCUUGACGGUACCUAAUCAGAAAGCCACGGCUAACUACGUG
This 497-nucleotide ribosomal RNA is filed under the name uncultured bacterium. RNAcentral's name for it is "partial 16S ribosomal RNA". It matches the Rfam family "Bacterial small subunit ribosomal RNA", at positions 28 to 507 of the family's 1533-position model. The record is from RNAcentral.